Molecule: unclassified non-coding RNA, 258 nt
Filed under: Hevea brasiliensis (rubber tree)
Lineage: Eukaryota; Viridiplantae; Streptophyta; Magnoliopsida; Malpighiales; Euphorbiaceae
Source: RNAcentral
GGUUAUAAAGCUUAUUUCUAACUCUGGAAGGUUAAAAAUUUGGUAAAAUUAAAUGGUGUAUCUGAAUAAAUAAAGAAGCUUUUAUUGCAUUAACCAGGAAUAGGUUUUAUUUAAUUAUGAUUAUGAAUGUUUGUGUCUUAAGGGAUACAUCAAAUGAUUAGAUAAUUGAACAACAUUGUUUUGACUUAAUCUAUGUCUUGUGAGCAUAACAGAAUAGGUGCUUGAUAUUAAUGCCCUGGUGAUUGUCUAAUUUCAAAA